This 299-nucleotide long non-coding RNA is filed under the name Gossypium barbadense (sea-island cotton). Its description in RNAcentral is "long non-coding RNA (GBAR_LNC014327)". Lineage: Eukaryota; Viridiplantae; Streptophyta; Magnoliopsida; Malvales; Malvaceae. The record is from RNAcentral.
AAAAAACUUCAAAAAGGUUUCAAAAAUGCUCUCCCCUUCCUUGUCCUCCGGCCAGGGCCUGGUCAUAGGCCGGUCAUCGGCCACCGCGUCGGCCGCCGAUCUCCGGCACCGUCACCGCCGUCUGCGGUGGCCGAAAAAAGGGAAAACGACCCUUUUGGCUCUCUUGACCUUCCCAAGCCCGGAUCUGGGCUCAAAAUUCCCAAAACAUCAAUAAAAAUGCCCCGAAAGCCCAAGAAGCCCUUGGCUCCCGGUCGUCUGUCAUCGGAGACGACACCCUCGGCCAUCGACGGCGAUCUGGG